AAAUCAGUACCACUAAAAACACCACAAAAAUCCAUAUAUUACAGCAAACAGUGUUUUGUUACAGCAGGCAAAACCAGUUAUUCAUUUCAUUUGGAAAAACAUAAUACAUGUGA
Long non-coding RNA from Etheostoma spectabile (orangethroat darter), 113 nucleotides. RefSeq lists it as uncharacterized. The record is from RefSeq and is a predicted model, not a curated record. The transcript has 3 exons. Lineage: Eukaryota; Metazoa; Chordata; Actinopteri; Perciformes; Percidae.